ACCUCCUCCCCUUCCCCCAACACACCUGCUGCAAUUAAUCAGCUCAUUAACAGACACAGGUAGAGUUACAGCAGGAACUGCACCGUUUGCAUUUGUGCAGUUUGAGUUAAACACUGUAUUAAAGCCUAAAAACAUGCAGAUACAGCGAAUUUAACACUGGAAGCCAAUAAAGAUCAGUAAGUAAAGAGGAGAGCAGGCCAGCCAGCCAGCCUACAGGAUCGAAAUGAACUGUACCAGCAGCCAGAGGAGCGGCUAAAAGGCUACAACCUAAUGCUAAAGCUAAUGCUAGCCUGAGAACCAGCGAACCGGGAAACUAUCAUUUCUCCAGCUGGAUUAACACAAACCCUACUGCCGAGAAGACCCAAACGAACAAAACAACGAUUAACGAGAUCUCUGGAUUCUACCAAUGAGGUGUGGAGCUACUUUGAGCUGGAUAACGAUGGAAAAAGUGAUGCCCACUUACUGGAUCUCGGAAAGCUGUAGGAGAGCAGAGGUGUGCUAUUCAACAAAGGAAAUCAAGGGAGCAGAGUCUGGAGGAAGAGUGGAGAGACGCACAGUCCAAACUGCUUGAAGUUUCCACCAGUCAGUGAUGGUUUGGAGAAACAUUUCAGACAUCUGCUGGGUGUGGUGGUGGAGCUCCGGGGGGGUGAGCCGCGGUCGGUGACCAGGACGCUGAAGCUGUACUCGGGACGCUCGGCGUGGGUCAGCUGACUGGAGGAGUGCAGCUCGCCUGUGAUUGGGUGCAGAGAGAAACGCUCUGCUCUGGGACCUGCCCACAAAACAAACAAACAAACAAACGUGUUAUUUUUUACUAUUCUCACUAUUCUUUCUGCCAUCACUGUUUAGGGGGCAACUAUACCCAAUUUGAUCUCAAUGUACUGUUCUGCAUUAAGGGGGCAUUAAACUACCUGAUUUUUUGCUGACUUCACUCUCAGCUCAAAUUUAAAAAAGCCUAAAAAUGGGUACUGGGUGAUGUAUGGGUUUAGGGCCGGGGCAGUGUGCCUCUAAUAGUCGUAGCCUUUUGUUUUUAGAAUGCCAAUGCAGGAUGCUUUAACACUUUGUGCUUUUAUCUUUUUUCUGAUAGGUUGUUAUUGUGUCACAGUUGGAUGAAAAUGG
Molecule: long non-coding RNA, 1116 nt
Organism: Astyanax mexicanus (Mexican tetra)
Lineage: Eukaryota; Metazoa; Chordata; Actinopteri; Characiformes; Acestrorhamphidae
Exons: 4
Source: RefSeq, a predicted model, not a curated record